This 1212-nucleotide long non-coding RNA is filed under the name Citrus x clementina. RNAcentral's name for it is "Citrus clementina (C. clementina) long non-coding RNA (CCLE_LNC001030)". Lineage: Eukaryota; Viridiplantae; Streptophyta; Magnoliopsida; Sapindales; Rutaceae. The record is from RNAcentral.
AUCUCUUAAUUUAUUUAAUAUUCCAAUUACAACAGCUGCUAAAUAAGAUAGUUCAAAUAUGGGAUAUGAAUCAUUUCUGAUCAUCAUGGUCGUGAGUAUGAGUAUGAUUUGAUAUGCAGGCCAUAAUGCGAGCGGCAAUUAUGGCAUAUGAUCUUGACUUUGACUUUGGGUACCCAGUGAGUGCACGACACGUAUUGUAUUGCACCGCUCUCUAAGUUCUUUUGUAAAGCUUCAAUUCCAGUCAAAAUAAAACUGUCUAAUUAAACUUUUAUUUAAUACAAUGGCGAAUAUUGAAAUUUUCUCUGCAAGUAUUCUCUUCAAAUUAAAGAUUAUAAGAUGGAGAAUAAAACAUUUUUAAAUUUUAGUAGGACUAUUUCAUUCAUAAUAAUUUAAAUCUUCGUGGCCUUUCUGUAUUAAGAGAUUUACAUUGAUAUAAUAUAAUCAUAAGGUGAGAGUAAACUUUGAAAAUAAUAAUAUGACCAAAAUAAAAUAUCAAGUGACAUAUAUGUUAUGUUGUCCGUGGAGUAUAUUUUAUUUGGACCUUUAAUUUUUCUUGGAUUAUUAUUUUAUGCUUCAUAUUUGUUUUUAGCUGCAUUGAGUUUGAUAUGCUGCAAAGUGUGACUCUAUAUGUAUGCCAAAAACUAGAAAACAAAUUGAAAGCAACUAAAAUUAAUAUUUCCAUGUAUAAUUAAUAUAACAACUUGCAAAUGCAUCCAACAUAUUUGACUUUGAUUGUUUCCUUAUAAAGACUUUCUCACUUUCUCUCAUUUUCAAAUGUAUGUCAUAAUAGGAAAAUUUGCAGGGUAGUCCAGAAAUUUAUUACUAAUUUAUUUAAAAAAUUUUAAAAAAAAGUUUGUGGAUGUCUGUUAAUUGGCUUGGAUAGCCUACCAUCGUACUUACGGACAUUAUUAUCCCUGUGCUCUCUUUUAGCUAUAAAAAGUACGAAAAAAUUAAGUUUUGAGACACAAUUUUGGUUUCAUAAUAAUUUUCCUCAAAAAGAGUGUAUCGGGUGUAUAGGUUUAUUUGUAGAUUUGUUUAAUAAAUUAGUUUGAUGGGUAAAAAUUUAUUUAGUCCUUAUAUUUUAAGAUUAGUAUCCAUUUAGUACCUGUAUUUUUUAAAAUACCUCGAAACAUCUCUAUCGUUAAAGUAUUGAUACACUUACAGUUAUUUUUUAUUUCUUUUGGCUUACUUUUACAAUAUUACCCUUUUAUA